Molecule: ribosomal RNA, 117 nt
Filed under: uncultured bacterium
Lineage: Bacteria
Description: partial 16S ribosomal RNA
Rfam family: Bacterial small subunit ribosomal RNA
Source: RNAcentral
CGCGGUGAAUACGUUCCCGGACCUUGUACACACCGCCCGUCAAGCCAUGGAAGCUGGGUGUACCUAAAGUCGGUAACCGCAAGGAGCCCGCCUAGGGUAAAACUAGUAACUGGGGCU